RNAcentral lists this ribosomal RNA (426 nucleotides) under uncultured bacterium. Its description in RNAcentral is "bacterial SSU rRNA". It matches the Rfam family "Bacterial small subunit ribosomal RNA", at positions 954 to 1380 of the family's 1533-position model. The record is from RNAcentral.
GCAUAACGCGAAGAACCUUACCCACCUUUGACAUGUACGGAAUCCUUUAGAGAUAGAGGAGUGCUCGAAAGAGAGCCGUAACACAGGUGCUGCAUGGCUGUCGUCAGCUCGUGUCGUGAGAUGUUGGGUUAAGUCCCGCAACGAGCGCAACCCUUGCCAUUAGUUGCUACAUUUAGUUGAGCACUCUAAUGGGACUGCCGGUGGCAAACCGGAGGAAGGUGGGGAUGACGUCAAGUCCUCAUGGCCCUUAUAGGUGGGGCUACACACGUCAUACAAUGGCUGGUACAAAGGGUUGCCAACCCGCGAGGGGGAGCUAAUCCCAUAAAGCCAGUCGUAGUCCGGAUCGCAGUCUGCAACUCGACUGCGUGAAGUCGGAAUCGCUAGUAAUCGUGGAUCAGAAUGUCACGGUGAAUACGUUCCCGGGUC